UCCUACGGGGGGCAGCAGUGGGGAAUAUUGCACAAUGGGGGAAACCCUGAUGCAGCGACGCCGCGUGAGUGAAGAAGUAUCUCGGUACGUAAAGCUCUAUCAGCAGGGAAGAAAAAAAGUCUUUGGCUUUGGACGGUACCUGACUAAGAAGCCCCGGCUAACUACGUGCCAGCAGCCGCGGUAAUACGUAGGGGGCAAGCGUUAUCCGGAUUUACUGGGUGUAAAGGGAGCGUAGACGGCACGGCAAGUCUGAAGUGAAAGGCAGGGGCUUAACCCCUGAACUGCUUUGGAAACUGCCAUGCUAG
Molecule: ribosomal RNA, 305 nt
Filed under: uncultured bacterium
Lineage: Bacteria
Description: partial 16S ribosomal RNA
Rfam family: Bacterial small subunit ribosomal RNA
Source: RNAcentral